This 460-nucleotide ribosomal RNA is filed under the name uncultured bacterium. RNAcentral's name for it is "partial 16S ribosomal RNA". It matches the Rfam family "Bacterial small subunit ribosomal RNA", at positions 338 to 795 of the family's 1533-position model. The record is from RNAcentral.
CCUACGGGUGGCAGCAGUGAGGAAUAUUGGUCAAUGGACGCGAGUCUGAACCAGCCAAGUCGCGUGAAGGAUGACUGCCCUACGGGUUGUAAACUUCUUUUGUACGGGAGUAAAGUGCGGCACGUGUGCCUUUUUGUAUGUACUUUAUGAAUAAGGAUCGGCUAACUCCGUGCCAGCAGCCGCGGUAAUACGGAGGAUCCGAGCGUUAUCCGGAUUUAUUGGGUUUAAAGGGUGCGUAGGUGGGUUGUUAAGUCAGUUGUGAAAUUUUGCGGCUCAACCGUAAAAUUGCAAUUGAUACUGGCAGUCUGGAGUAGAGUUGAGGUAGGCGGAAUUCGUGGUGGAGCGGUGAAAUGCUUAGAUAGCACGAAGAACUCCGAUUGCGAAGGCAGCUUACUAAACUGCAACUGACAUUGAUGCGCGAAAGUGUGGGUAUCAAACAGGAUUAGAGACCCCAGUAGUC